This 508-nucleotide ribosomal RNA is filed under the name uncultured bacterium. Its description in RNAcentral is "partial 16S ribosomal RNA". It matches the Rfam family "Bacterial small subunit ribosomal RNA", at positions 28 to 523 of the family's 1533-position model. The record is from RNAcentral.
GAUGAACGCUGGCGGCAUGCCUUACACAUGCAAGUCGAACGGCAGCGGGGGAGAAGCUUGCUUUUCCUGCCGGCGAGUGGCGAACGGGUGAGUAAUACAUCGGAACGUGCCCUGUAGUGGGGGAUAACUAGUCGAAAGAUUAGCUAAUACCGCAUACGACCUGAGGGUGAAAGUGGGGGACCGCAAGGCCUCAUGCUAUAGGAGCGGCCGAUGUCUGAUUAGCUAGUUGGUGGGGUAAAGGCCUACCAAGGCGACGAUCGGUAGCUGGUCUGAGAGGACGAUCAGCCCAACUGGGACUGAGACACGGCCCAGACUCCUACGGGAGGCAGCAGUGGGGAAUUUUGGACAAUGGGCGAAAGCCUGAUCCAGCAAUGCCGCGUGUGUGAAGAAGGCCUUCGGGUUGUAAAGCACUUUUGUCCGGAAAGAAAUGGCUCUGGUUAAUACCUGGGGUCGAUGACGGUACCGGAAGAAUAAGGACCGGCUAACUACGUGCCAGCCGCCGCCGUAA